CACAAAUUGCCGUGGACUUGUCCUUGUUGGGAUAUACCUUGGAUAGUUGAAGAAUUAUCUGAAGUUGUUUAUCUAACGACCAAAACAGUUGUUUAGCUAUGUGAAUUGUUUUUUUUUCACCUGAUAAUCCAUAAUUAUGAGUUUGCCUAGCAAGUAUUGCACAUUUUCUCUUGAACAUUCUCAAAUUUGAUAAUCUUGUUACUUCUAAAUUAUUCAGAGUUGGCAUAUGCUGAAAGAAACACUUUGAGAAGAAGACAAAUUACACUCUCGUUACUAACCAUGACAUUUCGUUGGAAGAGAUUUUGUUCUCGGUGAUUGGGCAUAGUGAUUUUGAUGCAUCGCCUGAUCUCAUUCUCACACAGGAUAUCAAUGGGGUGAAUGCCGGUACUCAACCUAUUGAUGCACAUGGACAUGAUGACUCUCUAGCGUUUAUGGACCAACCAACCUGUAAUCAUGGACCUUAUUGUCUUGUAGACCAUUUGGUGUUUCGAGUGUUUUGGAGCUUGCACUUUGUGCAUGUAGAUACAAACUUGUGUGUUCUGGACCAUUUGAAGUCUCUCAUAGUAACCAAUAGUCCUUAUCUUUU
Molecule: long non-coding RNA, 586 nt
Organism: Hordeum vulgare subsp. vulgare (domesticated barley)
Lineage: Eukaryota; Viridiplantae; Streptophyta; Magnoliopsida; Poales; Poaceae
Exons: 3
Source: RefSeq, a predicted model, not a curated record